Oryctolagus cuniculus (rabbit) is the source of this 5910-nucleotide non-coding RNA. The record is from RefSeq and is a predicted model, not a curated record. NCBI's taxonomy places the organism in Eukaryota, Metazoa, Chordata, Mammalia, Lagomorpha, Leporidae.
CUUUAUGUUUCUGUGUGGGAGCAAACUGUUGAAAUCCAUACUUAAUGUAUACUAAGCUGAUCUUCUGUAUAUUAAGAUAAUCGAAAAUGAAUCUUGAUGUGAAUGGAAGGGGAGGGGGAGUGGGAAAGGGGAGGGUUGUGGGUGGGAGGGACGGUAUGGGGGGAAAGCCAUUGUAAUCCAUAAGUCGUACUUUGGAAAUUUAUAUUCAUUAAAUAAAAGUUUAAAAAAAAAAGUAUCACAUUUACAGUAAUAUUUAAAUCUUCAGGGUCUCUGCCGCAAUUUAUUGAUGAGAAAGAAAUCCCAUCUUCCCGGUAUCUGCCUUCCUCAGUUCUGCAAACAAACCCUCAUCUGUGUCACCGUGUGCCACGCCUGGGUGGCCUGGGCAUCAUUAUCCCGUUCCUUUUCUGAGAGGUGGACUCCAGGAUAGCAGGAGGUGGUUUUUCAUUUUUUGUUUUUAGUUUUUUUUUGCAUUUACUCGGCACCAGAAUCUGCAGUGCGAGGUUGAGUCUGCAGCUGCCUGCUGGUCUCACGGUCCUCCCUUUGCACUGAAUGUGCUUCUUGGCAGCCUGUCGAUGACGGCUCAUGUGAGGCGCAGCCCAAGCUGGGGUGAAGAGCUCCGUCAGGCUCCCAGCAGCCCAUGCGUGGCAGACUUCUUCCAGGACACUGACUGUGCCUCCCUGAGGACUGACGCUCACUCCCUCGGGAAAGCCAGCUCCUGCCCUGGUUCUCCUGGGCCAGCAGAACACCUGCUGCCUUCGUGACCAGGUUUCGGAGAGAGCGUUCUCCCUUGGGUAGGUUGAGGCCCUCAAAGGCUGGCUGGCCCAGGUCCGCGGCUUCCUCUUGAGUAUUAGUCUUCUUUAAGGAAAGAGCAUUUUCUCUCUCAGAGCCGACUGUUUCCUGAGGAUCGCAUCUGUCAAACACGUACGUAUUUCCUCUCUGCCUGCUGUCCUCCACUUAUUGUGUCUUUCUAAUUAGAAGUGUGACAGAUAAGUUUUCAAGGUUACUUCACACUCUGAGCUAGUUCAUUUCCACAGGAUGAUGCAAUUUUUGAGGGCAUUGUCUGUGCAAACACACAAAGGAGCUAAGGACAGUUUUUUGCUAAAUUCAAAGGCUGUCUGAUCUCUGGCUCAGUCAAGAUAACCAGCUACUGUGGAAAAAUGUUUGUUUAGGGAUCACAUUCCACAGGCUGUCAGUCUGUAAGGCUCAAAAUUGAUAGGCAACUCUUGCAGACAAUGAAACUAUCAAUGUGCGUGCACUGAAUGUUUGGCUUCUUCCCUGUCCCCCAAAUCCAUAUACUGAAUGGGAACUGCCAACGUGAUAGCAUUUGGAGGUGACAUCUUUGGGAGCUGAUUAGACUUAAGUGAGGUCGUGAGGGUGGGGCCACUGUGAUGGACUCAGUGUCCGUCUAAGAAGGGGAGGGGACACCAGGGCAUGAUCCCUCUGCCACGUGAGGAUACAGUGAGAAGGCAGCCAUGUGCAAGCCAGAAAGGCCGGCUCUUCCGUAGGGGCCCCAGUGGUUGGUGCCUUGAGCUGGGACUUUUUCAGCAUCCAGAACUGUUGGAGUAAAGUUUCUAUUGUUUAAUUCACCUGAUCUGUGAUAUUUCGUUUUGGCAAGCCAUGAUGACUAAGACAUGCUGGAUAAAUAGAAAUGGAAAAAUUUAUUUUAUUUUGAACUUACCAGUCACGGGGGUUUUAAUAGCUAUUCCAAAUUUCCCUCUACCUCUAGCCUUGAUCAAAUAGUGUAUGGUGUGUAAGUGUUGUUAAAUCUUGUUACCCCCCACCCCCACCACUAUUAAGGAAUCCUGUGAUUAAAGAAUAAGGAACAAAACUCAAUAUAAGAAUAAAAGAUUUUAUUAGGGAAAUUUCCAUAUAGGAUUCUAGACUGGAAUGGGUGGGUGAUCUGGCCAAAGGCUGUAGCAGGAUUUUUCUGCACAGAACAGCAGAUGGGGGAAGAUUUUGUGGUGUACAAAUCUAGCAGGGAGGUGGGGUAGGAGCUGAUGUCAUCGCAUUUCUUGGUUUGCGUCUGGAGUUAGCCCCGGAUGCCCUGCUGCUCUUCCUGCCCUUAUCAGGGAGACUUGUGGCAGUGCUUACGCUUUUGUGACCGGGGAAUGGCCACUGUCGACUUGACUAGCAGCUGACCAGUCUUUCUGAGAUAGAUGGGGACUCAAAACGCUGGGGGGUGUGGUAGGAUAAGGCGCAGGAUGGCAUUCCUGUGGGCUGCUGUCACGCACCGUCAUGGGUGUGAUGCAGGCAAGGAGGAGUUGUGCAUCUAAAGCAGGGCUGUGUCCUAGAGGCUCCUGGCAAUUGUUGGUGGCUGCUGCUGCUGCUGCUGCUGUUGACGAGGGGACUGUGGAGGCCUGGCUUACCCUCAGCAUGACUGAACUUCAGGCACAUUUCUUUCUGACCUCUCUCUGUUCAGAACAUUUACUUUAGAAAUCUUGUAAAUUCUUUCCUACCAGUUUGAAACACAAGUGUAUAAAAAAGCCCUUUUGCAACUUUUCAACUCAGGAAAUACAAUUAUCGUUGGAAUAGCACUCUACCUCACUGUCUCCUUUGGAAGGUAAGUGACUUGGGUCGUGUUGCAUGACUAGCCCCUGCUAUAAGGAUACACACAGUUUCUUUUUCCUCUGGGUAAUGUUAAUGGCAAACCCAUUCUACAAAACUUUCCCACUUUAAGCACCCAGUGCUUGGAAUCCCUGUCACCUUUUGUUUCAGCAAUUGAAUACAAAUUACACCCUGGCCCCCAAUGCAGUAACCUGCGCCAAGGUGGUCUUUGCUUGUUUAAUUUUGUACAGUGCAAUUUUCACUUGCAGUGAUGAUUGUGAUUAUUUUCACGUGCUUGACCCUGAGGCUAGCAGGAUGGUGGUUUAAUGGAAAUCGAGGAGAGCGAAGGGGAACUUGUUGAGUUUGGACAUUUGGGAUUUGGGAUGGUGAUUGACAUUCAAGGGAAGAAACGGUUCUGGGGCUUCAGUGUACUGGCAGUGUUUAAAGCUCUCAGAAGAAGCAAAUGUAGAGAAAUGAUUGGAAGGCCUAGGAUGUGAACUUUGGUGAGGGCAGAGGAAGACUAAGAGUUGCCAGGAAAAAGACAGAAGGGUCACCAGUAAGUAGCAGAAACUCUCAUGGAGAAACGAGCCCGAGUUUUAGAUUCAAGUCUAUUGGUAAAAGCAUUGCCCCAGUGGUGGGGUGAGAGAAGCAGCUGUAAAGGGGGCAUGUGUAGCUGAUAAUGAGUUCAGAAAUUGUACAUAAAUCAUUUCAGAUUUUGGACAAAAGGAAGAAAAAAAUGAGAAGCUGGAGGUUGGAGUAAUUUUUUCCCUAAAACAGGCAAGAUUUAAAGCAUUUAUCAAAGUUAGACUUGGAAAAAGCAACAGCAACGACCACCAAGAAGCACUGGUAUUCAAGAUACUAGAGAGUGAGCUGCUUUUGGUGUGGUAGAAUAUUAUCUUAAUAGAGCAGAGGGUUCGUGUGGCAGAAAGUGGUGGCAGCAGCGGAAGAGGGAGAGCCAAAGCCGAGGGAGUGAUCAAGGCUCAGCAAAUAAGCCCUAGCCAAGAAAAGGCUCCAAGGAGUGAGUGAAGUCUUUUCCAGGAGAGAGUCCUUGUCCGCAACCAAGGAUUGUUAUGGUGCAACUGAGCAGUCUCAGGCAAGGUGCUCAAAUUUUAUACAUAAGGAGUCAUGAUCUUCAAGGAAAAGAGAUUUUGCAAUCUGACUUGUAAAUAAUUAUUUGGGUGACUCUUGCACUUACGCAAACUGGAAAAUCACUGCCCUGAAAGGGUGCUCAUUAGCAGUGACUUGGAAUUGGGACGUGGAACCAGGACUUGAACCCACAUGACUUUCAUGCGAUAUGUGAGUAUCCCAAGUAAUGUUCUACCUGUUGAACCAAAUGAUAAUCCCAUUGCUAUGCUGCUGCUUCUUAAAAGAUUUAUUUAUUUAUUUGAAAGGCAGAUAAAGGAAGAGAGGGAGAGAGAGAGAGAGAGAGAGAGAAUAUGUUCCAUCUGCUGGUUCACUCUCCAAAUGCCCACAACAGCUGGGGCUGGGCCAGGCAGAAGCUAGGAGUCUGGACUCCAUUCGGAUCUCCCACAGUGGCUGGUAGGGACCCAAGUACUUGGGCCACCUUCUGCUGCCUUCCCAGAUGCACUAGCAGGAAGCUCUAUUGGAAGUGGAGGAACUAGGACUUGAACUGGCACUCUGAUAUGGGAUGUGGGGGAUCUUACCCACUGUGCCACAACACCUGCUCCAGCUGGGUCCUGUUCUUAAAGAAGAACACCUCAACCAAUGGUAUUAGGUAGAACAAACAAAAAUACUAAAAGUGAUAUAGUAUUAAAUUGUACAUCAACAGUGAUGGUAAGGGCUGAUCAAGUCAUUGUUUCUCAUAGUGUCCAUUUCACUUCAACAGGUUUCCUUUUUGAUGCUCAGUCAGUUGUCACCGAUCAGGGAGAACACAUCAUAUUUGUCCCUUUGGGACUGGCUUAGUUCAUUCAGCAUGAUGUUUUCCAGGUUCUUCCAUUUUGUUGCAAAUGACCGGAUUUCAUUGUUUUUUUACAGCUGUAUAGUGUUCUAUAGAGUACAUGUCCUAUAAUUUCUUUAUCCAGUCUACUGUUGAUGGGCAUUUGGGUUGGUUCCAGGUCUUAGCUAUUGUGAAUUGAGCUGCGAUAAACAUUAAGGUGCAGACAGCUUUUGUGUUUGCCAAGUUAAUUUCCUUUGGGUGAAUUCCAAGGAGUGGGAUGGCUGGGUCGAAUGGUAGAGUUAUAUUCAGGUUUCUGAGGAAUCUCCAAACCGUCUUCCAUAGUGGCUUGACCAGUUUGCAUUCCCACCAACAGUGGGUUAGUGUCCCUUUUCCCCCACAUCCUCACCAGCAUCUGUUGUUGGUAGAUUUCUGAAUGUGAGCCAUUCUAACUUGUUCCACUUAAUACCAUUGGUUGAGCUAUGUAAUUAACACACAAUUAUUCCUAGGUGUUUAAAUUUAACUGAAAAGUGAUCCCUGUUAAAUAUAACAGUGGGAAUAAGAGAGGGAGGAGACGUACAAUUUGGGACAUGCUCAAUCAGACUUGCCCCAAAUGGUGGAGUUAGAAACAUGCCAGGGGAUUCCAAUACAAUCCCAUCAAGGUGGCAUGUACCAACGCCAUCUCACUAGUCCAAGUGACCAAUUUCAGUUCACAAUUGAUCACACUGAUAGGUCUAAGAGUCAAAGGGAUCACACAAACAAGACUAGUGUCUGCUAAUACUAACUGAUAGAAUCAAAAAGGGAGAGAACAAUCCAACAUGGGAAGUGGGAUACACAGCAGACUCAUAGAAUGGCAGAUGUCCUAAACAGCACUGGCCUCAGAAUCAGCCCUUAAGGCAUUCAGGUCUGGCUGAAGAGCCCAUGAGAGUAUUUCAGGCAUGGAAAGCCAAGACACUCUGGCAAAAAAACAAAAAACAAAAAACAAAAAGAAAAAACAAACAACAAAAAAACAAAACACAACAACAAACUAAAUGAAAGAUCUGUGCGAAUGAGAUCCCAGUGGAAAGAACGGGGCCAUCAAAGAAGGAGGUACCUUUCUUUCUCUGAAGGGAGGCGAGAACUUCCACUUUGACCAUGGCCUUGUCAAAAUAAGAUCAAAGUUGGCGAGCUCAGGGGGCUUCCAUAGCCUUGGCAACUCAUGACUAGAGCCUGGGGAGACUGCUGAUGCCUUAAACAAGAGUGUCAAUUUGUUAAGUCAACAACAGGAGUCACUGUGCACUUACUCCUCAUGUAGGAUCUCUGUCCUUAAUGUGUUGUUCAAUGUGAAUUAAUGAUAUGAAUAGUGCUCAAACAGUAUUUGGCAAUUUGUGCUCUGUGUGGGUGCAAACUGAUGAAAUCUUUACUUAAUAUAUGCUAAAUUGAUCUCCUGUAUAUAAAGAGAAAUGAAAAUGAAUCUUGAUGUGAAUGGAAUG